UACGUAGGGCGCAAGCGUUGUCCGGAAUUAUUGGGCGUAAAGAGCUCGUAGGCGGUUUGUCGCGUCUGCUGUGAAAACCCGAGGCUCAACCUCGGGCCUGCAGUGGGUACGGGCAGACUAGAGUGUGGUAGGGGAGACUGGAAUUCCUGGUGUAGCGGUGGAAUGCGCAGAUAUCAGGAGGAACACCGAUGGCGAAGGCAGCUCGCUGGGACGGUACUGACGCUGGAGACGCGAAAGCGUGGGGAGCAAACAGG
RNAcentral lists this ribosomal RNA (254 nucleotides) under uncultured bacterium. RNAcentral describes it as "partial 16S ribosomal RNA". It matches the Rfam family "Bacterial small subunit ribosomal RNA", at positions 524 to 776 of the family's 1533-position model. The record is from RNAcentral.